Molecule: long non-coding RNA, 1639 nt
Filed under: Homo sapiens (human)
Lineage: Eukaryota; Metazoa; Chordata; Mammalia; Primates; Hominidae
Description: HSALNT0007262
Source: RNAcentral
UUUGGAUGUGGGCUCAGACAUUAGGAGCAGGCAGUAUCUUUUCUUUUUCUUUUUCUUUCUUUCUUUUUUUUUUUUUUUGACAGGAUGGGCUGGGGUUGGGGGAGGAGGAAGCAAGAAUUAAGCAGAGAAGGCAAGCUCCUUUCUGUUCAUCUAACUCAAACUGACGAGUCAUUGAGCUGACUCCAAUCAGCAGGAUCCCCUGGUCGCCUGACUCAGGCCUCCCCAGUCAGAGGUAGAGUCUGCGGUGGACAGACAGACAGGUCUGGAGAGGCUGCAACCCUGGUUACCAUCUGGUCGGCUGGACCAUGAAUGUUUCAAGGGCAAGGCCAUGUCUGAUUCAAUUCCACAUCCACAGCACGUAAAGCAACGUCUGGCAGAGCAAAGAACUCACCCAUCAAUUGAAUGACAUCAUGGCCAAUCUACGAGUUCUGGCUUACUUCUCAUGCUAUUAUCACAUCUGCCAAGGAUUCUUCCUGGCUAAAGAAACCCAUAAAAGUGGAAAACUCAAACUCCACAGUGCAAAUAUCUCUUGAGUCUGCCUGCACUACCCUUUCUUGAAUGUGUAUUGAUAAGACUGCAGUUGACAUUUUAAGAAAUUUAAAUUUCAACCUGAAGUCAAUAAGGACACCUCAGAAGUUUUCAAAGGAAGGAUGGAGUCUGUUGAAAAGAACCGGUUGGUAAAAUGAGAAAAAAUGGAUUGAAGGAGACCCAAGUGACCACCUGGUAAUUACUUCAACAGCAGAGCGACUCAUACAGCCGGCAGUCCACUUUGUUCUUCUAUAGAUCCUGCCUGUGGUGUUGGAUCUAACAGCUUCUUCCCUGACCCAAGAUUAUGAAGGAUUUCUCCUGUGUUCUCUUCUAAAAAUUUUACAUUUAGGUACAUAAUCCAUUUUGAGCUAAUUCUUUUAAAUAGUGCAAAGUAUGGAUUGAAGUUCUUUUUUUUUUUUUUUUUUGCAGAUACAUAUUUAAUUUUUCCAGCACCAUUUGUUGAAAAGACUAAUGUUCUUGCCUGAAUAGCCUUUGCAUUGUUGUUGAAAAUCAUGUUCACACAUGUACACAUUCCACUGAUCUAUUUGCCUCUUUGUGAAAAUACUACUAUUUUGAUUAAUAUAUAUUUAUAGGGAGUCUUAAAAUCAUAUCUUAAAAAGAUAGUGGAAGUUAUUUAACCUUACUCUUGCUUUUAGAAAUUGUUUUGGAUAUUCUAGAUCUUUUGUGUUUCCAUAUAAAUUUUAUAAUCAGUUUGGCAAUUUAUUUAAAAUAUUCUUCUGGGAUUUUGAUGGACAUUACACUGAAUCGAUGGAUCGCUUUGGGGACAACUGACAUCUUAACAAUAUUGAGUCAUCUAACAUAUGAUCAUGGAAAUUGCUCCAUUUAUUUAGAUCUUCUUUCACAUCUUGAAGCAGUGUUUUGCGUUUUCAGUGUAUAGGUAUUUAAUAGAUUUAAAAAUAUGAUCCCUAAAUAUUCAAUGUUUUUGAUGCUAUUGGAAUUUUAAAAAAUUAAUUUCUGUUCUGAGGAAGGAAAAUAAUAAAAGAUUAAACAAGAAAAAUAAAAAUAAUCAAAAUAAAAGAUAAAUCAUUGACAAAUAUAAUAAAAAAUAAAAUAAUAACAAAAAAUAUAAAAAAUUAAUUUCUUAUUUUUU